UGGGGCGUAGCCAAGUGGUAAGGCAACGGGUUUUGAUCCCGUCAUUCGCAGGUUCGAAUCCUGCCGCCCCAGCCA
RNAcentral lists this transfer RNA (75 nucleotides) under Rhodospirillaceae bacterium. RNAcentral describes it as "tRNA-Gln". It matches the Rfam family "tRNA". From Rfam's summary of the family: Transfer RNA (tRNA) molecules are approximately 80 nucleotides in length. Their secondary structure includes four short double-helical elements and three loops (D, anti-codon, and T loops). The record is from RNAcentral. RNAcentral also lists the same sequence under 4 other names. Lineage: Bacteria; Pseudomonadati; Pseudomonadota; Alphaproteobacteria; Rhodospirillales; Rhodospirillaceae.